AUUGAACGCUGGCGGCACGCCUAACACAUGCAAGUCGAGCGGUAGCAGGACCUGUAGCAAUACAGGUUGCUGACGAGCGGCGGACGGGUGAGGAAUACGUAGGAACUUGCCCUUCAGUGGGGGAUAACCAAGGGAAACUUUGGCUAAUACCGCAUAAUCUCGGGAGAGUAAAGCUGCCGCGAGGUGGUGCUGAAGGAGAGGCCUGCGUCCGAUUAGCUAGUUGGUGAGGUAAGAGCUCACCAAGGCGAUGAUCGGUAACUGGUCUGAGAGGACGACCAGUCACACUGGGACUGAGACACGGCCCAGACUCCUACGGGAGGCAGCAGUGGGGAAUAUUGGACAAUGGGGGCAACCCUGAUCCAGCGAUGCCGCGUGAGUGAAGAAGGCCCUCGGGUCGUAAAGCUCUUUAGGUUGGGAAGAAGGUUAUUGGAGGAAAUGCUAGUAACUUGACGGUACCGACAGAAUAAGCACCGGCAAACUCUGUGCCAGCAGCCGCAGUAA
Molecule: ribosomal RNA, 501 nt
Filed under: uncultured bacterium
Lineage: Bacteria
Description: partial 16S ribosomal RNA
Rfam family: Bacterial small subunit ribosomal RNA
Source: RNAcentral